CUGAUACAAGCUUAACUGCUGUAGAGGCGGAUGGCCGGAUUGUUGCCCCGCCCACUUUAAAAGUGAGCUAAGGGGUAUUUUACAUUGUUUUGUUUGAGCCUCAUUCACAAUUUUGCUCUCUUUAUUCUGGGCGACUCGUGAUGAUCACGGGAGGAAACACAAACAGGCGCUGAAACAUGUGGACGGAGGUGGGAGACAACAACAGCUCUGUUCAUGAAGAACCACAGGACCACAAUCUCACACAGAUAGUUUCCCCAGUGUCUUCAUGGCUCCGCUCCAACUCCGAUAGAAAUGGCUCAGCAGCUACCAGUCCACCCCCUCUUGCUGAGACCCCCAUGAACAGAGAGAGUGGAAUCAUACCAGGUACAAUCCCAGUAUCAGUUUUGACGGUCACAACAGAGUGCAACAGUGACCGAUCACUUUU
This 424-nucleotide long non-coding RNA is filed under the name Sinocyclocheilus anshuiensis. RNAcentral's name for it is "lncRNA (ENSSANG00000030559.1)". The record is from RNAcentral. Lineage: Eukaryota; Metazoa; Chordata; Actinopteri; Cypriniformes; Cyprinidae.